Molecule: ribosomal RNA, 345 nt
Filed under: uncultured bacterium
Lineage: Bacteria
Description: bacterial SSU rRNA
Rfam family: Bacterial small subunit ribosomal RNA
Source: RNAcentral
GGACGCAAGUCUGAUGGAGCAACGCCGCGUGAGUGAAGAAGGGUUUCGGCUCGUAAAGCUCUGUUGGUAGUGAAGAAAGAUAGAGGUAGUAACUGGCCUUUAUUUGACGGUAAUUACUUAGAAAGUCACGGCUAACUACGUGCCAGCAGCCGCGGUAAUACGUAGGUGGCAAGCGUUGUCCGGAUUUAUUGGGCGUAAAGCGAGUGCAGGCGGUUCAAUAAGUCUGAUGUGAAAGCCUUCGGCUCAACCGGAGAAUUGCAUCAGAAACUGUUGAACUUGAGUGCAGAAGAGGAGAGUGGAACUCCAUGUGUAGCGGUGGAAUGCGUAGAUAUAUGGAAGAACACC